This 392-nucleotide ribosomal RNA is filed under the name uncultured bacterium. Its description in RNAcentral is "partial 16S ribosomal RNA". It matches the Rfam family "Bacterial small subunit ribosomal RNA", at positions 523 to 917 of the family's 1533-position model. The record is from RNAcentral.
AUACGGAAGGUCCGGGCGUUAUCCGGAUUUAUUGGGUUUAAAGGGAGCGCAGGCGGAGAUGCAAGCGUGACGUCCAAUUUCGGGGCUCAACCCCGUCUCGCGUCGCGAACUGCGUCCCUUGGUUGCGGGAAGGGGAGGCGGAACUCGUGGUGUAGCGGGUGAAUGCAUAGAUAUCACGAAGAACUCCGGCCGCGAAGGCAGCCUUCCGGCCCGUCAACGACGCUCAUGCUCGAAGGUGCGGGUAUCAAACAGGAUUAGAUACCCUGGUAGUCCGCACAGUAAACGAUGGACACCCGCGGUUUGGCCUGUAUGGCUGAGCCGCCAAGCGAAAGCGUUAAGUGUCCCCCCUGGGGAGUAUGCCGGCAACGGUGAAACUCAAAUGAAUUGACGGG